UUACAUGCAAGUCGAGCGACAGAUAAGGAGCUUGCUCCUUUGACGUUAGCGGCGGACGGGUGAGUAACACGUGGGUAACCUACCUAUAAGACUGGAAUAACUCCGGGAAACCGGGGCUAAUGCCGGAUAACAUUUAGAACCGCAUGGUUCUAAAGUGAAAGAUGGUUUUGCUAUCACUUAUAGAUGGACCCGCGCCGUAUUAGCUAGUUGGUAAGGUAACGGCUUACCAAGGCAACGAUACGUAGCCGACCUGAGAGGGUGAUCGGCCACACUGGAACUGAGACACGGUCCAGACUCCUACGGGAGGCAGCAGUAGGGAAUCUUCCGCAAUGGGCGAAAGCCUGACGGAGCAACGCCGCGUGAGUGAUGAAGGUCUUCGG
RNAcentral lists this ribosomal RNA (380 nucleotides) under Staphylococcus cohnii. RNAcentral's name for it is "bacterial SSU rRNA". It matches the Rfam family "Bacterial small subunit ribosomal RNA", at positions 51 to 421 of the family's 1533-position model. The record is from RNAcentral. Lineage: Bacteria; Bacillati; Bacillota; Bacilli; Caryophanales; Staphylococcaceae.